RNA transcript from Ictalurus furcatus (blue catfish), 3199 nucleotides. It is a transcript of the gene named F-box and leucine-rich repeat protein 15, with no coding region annotated. Lineage: Eukaryota; Metazoa; Chordata; Actinopteri; Siluriformes; Ictaluridae. The transcript has 5 exons. The record is from RefSeq and is a predicted model, not a curated record.
UACUGUUUCAAUAUUUCAGUAAAAAGAUUUUUUAUACAGCGCCAGAUUUAAUACGCAAACAAUGCAAAAUUGGCAUAAAUGGGAUAAAUGUGGGGGUUUAGUUUUCAGGUUUUCACAGGUAUGUCACCAAACACUAGAUGGCGGUAUAUAACUGAACGAGUUGAACGCCAGCAGGUAUGUAACCAAAGAAGAAGAAAGUGGUGUGCUGUUUUGUUAUGUUGGCUAGUAAGUUCUGUGUGCCUUGUUUUCCUGUCGUAAUCUGAUUGGAUGAUUCGAGUCGCCUGCGAACAAACUAUUUAGUAGGGUAUUUAUGUGCCUGAUUCCAAGUCUUUUUUAAAUUAAUUUUAUUUUUUUUAUGUAUUAUGGAAAUUAAAACCAAAACCAAGACGCACAGUUACCGAUUUAGCUACUUGCUAGCUAAACUGGUUACGUAUCAAUAUUUGAAAACGUCUAAUUUUAAACGUUACUGAACUCAACAAAAGUGACCCAAAAUAAAACAGCCUCUGAAAAAUAUAUAUUAAAACGUCCAAUUUUAAGCAUGUUUGUGCUAAAGGGACAACAAGUGAUUUUUAAAAAUAUAUAUUUUUUAAAUAUUAUUUAGAAAAUAAUAUGCUUGUAUGUUUAUAAGUUUGUACGAUUUUAAAUCAGGCGGAUACGAGAGCUACCAAUGGGUCCUGAGGGUGCAGGAUGUGAAGAGGGAUGUCCGUUAACGCAUCACCCGGUCAGCAGUACUAAACAUGAACGACAAUCAUCACCGCACAGCUGGGGUUUACACUGCAGUGGAGGCAAAGCCGGAGGAACCACCCGGGUGCUCCAAGUAUCAGCUGUUAGACCUGCCCUGGGAGGACGUCCUCGUGACAUAUGUACUAUGUUAUUUGCCUUUACGACACCUGGUCAGCCUACAGCGAGUGAGCAAGACGUUCCGCUCUCUAAUUCAGGUUUAUCUGGCCAACUGCCGCUCGUUCGACCCUGCACAGACAGGUCCUCACAUUCCUAAGGAAGCUUUUUGUUCCAUGCUCUGCGAUAAUAAAGUUCUGCAGAGCCUCUCUGUACACGGCUGCUGUGACUGGAUCACUGAUGAUGAGCUACUUCCUGUGAUUGGUCAGAACCAGCAGCUGCAGCGUGUGGACCUACACGGUUGUGUUCACCUCACUCGGCACGCUCUGGUGGCUGUGGCUCUGGGCUGCCCCCGCCUGCAGCAUCUGGGCCUGGCACACUGCGAGUGGGUGGAUAACCUGGCGCUGCGCAGCAUGGCAGAUCACUGCACCGAGCUGCGCACCCUGGACCUCACUGCCUGCAGGCAGCUGAGAGACGAGGCCUUGUGUUACGGGGUGGCGCGCUGGCCCACGUUGCGCUCGCUCUCUGUGGCCAUCAAUGCCAACAUCACAGACACGACUGUGGAGGAGGUGGCCAAGCGCUGCAGGGAGCUCGAGCAUCUCGACCUGACCGGCUGUCUGAGGGUUCGCAACGAGGCCAUCCGGACCGUGGCUGAGUACUGCCCUAAACUGCAGUCUCUGAAGGUGAAUCACUGUCAUAACGUUAACGAGUCCAGUCUGGGUGUACUACGAAGGCGGAAUGUAGACAUCGACGUGGAACCUCCUCUCCAGAGGGCGUUGGUGCUGCUACAGAACGUGGUGGGCUUCGCUCCCUUCAUCAACCUACAGAUAUAACAAUACAUGAACACCUGGGUCCAUGUGUAUCAUACGUCUCAGAACAAGAGUGCUGAUUUGCAGUCAGCUGUCUCUCGGUGAACAUCACACUCAUUAGUCAGGUGUGUUUUUCUGAGAGGUGUGGUACAUAUGACCCCAAGACCAGCCUAGCUGAAAUCAGGACUUCCUUCAUCCUUGAUCUAUCUGGAGUGAAUCCCUGUGCUGGCACAGUGCAAUGAUAUGGACCAUGUACUCGUAUGAAAUAACCAUUUCAGCUAUGUGAUUGAGUAGUUGUGUUCUACCAGGGGUUCCACCAGCCCCGUUUCAAGUCACAAUAAUUAUCUGUGAACUGAGUCAGUUGCAUUACAAUACAAAGACAAGGAAACUCUUCCAGCUGCUGUUGCCAUGCGGGAUUGACUAGAGACAGUUAAGUUUACCUCUCAAAGAAAGUGUCAUACUUAUCAGAUCUGUCAUACUUGAGAUUUUCCUGUGUAAAUGCAAUGUCUUUUAGCUAUUCAGAUCUGCUGUGUUAUACUUCUGGUUUUACUCUGAGCACUUAUUUUGAUUACGAAUACAUGAAUUGGGCUUGAACAUUCUUUCAUUCUUCCAGUAAUUGUGGGAAAUGUACUGUUUGUUUUAUUUAUUCUUUUUUUAUGUGGUAAACAAAAGCUUUGUGUAAUUUUGCACUUAAUAACACACUGAAGGAAACAAAUUGCACCUUUCAAAGUAUCUGCUCAGAGAUCUGUUGAUUUGUGUUAGAACUUACCGAGCAAAUCGGAGCGUGAGACGAAUUUUGUGUCCCAGUGUUAGUGGAUACACACAAACCUUUUAUAGUUUAUCUAAAAGUAAACAAUUAGGACUUGCAGGCAGCAUGGCGGAUCACUUUUAUAGUUUAUCUUUUACAGUUUAUCUUCAAACACCCAAAGCGGUUGUUAUUUCUACAGGCAUAACUUGAAACUCCCACCAAACCUCAGCAUUACUAUUACAUAUUAGCUUUAAACCAGACUGAAUGUGUUUAUUGUCAAAUUUAAUUAAUUCUAGAGAUCAUGACAUUUCAUUAUAAUACCUUAGAUUUAUGGUGUAAAAUGUAAUUGUAAUAAAGCAUUUGCACUACUGUAGGUUUGGAUUAGUUUUAUUAAGGAGUGGAUUAUACAACUUGAUUAUACAACACAUCAUUAAAAGUGAAGAUGUUAAGGCAUUUUAUUUAGAUAGAAUUAGUUUUAUGAUUUUUUUUUUUCUGUCAAAACUACAAUUAUUGUAAUAUAUUAUAAUAUAUACAACAGCAAUUAUAUGUCCAGUGUCACAGCAAAUCCGAUUGAACUCAGUCUACAGGAUCAUACAUGGUGUACAAGCUUUGCAUUUCGUAUUGCUGUGAUGUUUUGCUCUGUUUAAUGUUUAUUUGUAUAUGAUUAUUUGUGAAUGUUCUAAAUGAUUGCUUAUAUACAAUAAUAUGCAAUAUUGAUGAGGUUUUGGAAACCCUUAUUUAAUUUUGAGCUGGAUCACUUUUGCUCAAUUAGUCAAUGUCCUAUAGCAUUUUAUGAAUUUCAUAU